GGAAGCUACGCCACUGAAUUGGAUACAUAACCUUGGAAAUGAAUAUUUUGUUUUUGAACGGCAUUUUGAGAAAGAUUCUUUUAAAGAGGAUAUCAGGCUAAUCCAUUUUCUUUUGGAAACCUAUUGACCAACCUGGACUAUUAGCAUCUAAGGAAACAGCUCAAUGAAGACAUCAAUAGUGACAAAACUAUCCCACUCUCAAUCCAUAUUGAAGAAUAAAUCAACUUUGUGCAACAUAUACAGAUAGAAUUGUCCAUCAUAUGUGCUAAGGAAUGUUCAAGUGAAGAAUGAAGAAGUGAAGAUAAUGAACAAUCCUGUAUAAAGAAUUCAAAAUUAAAAGUUUAAGAAUUAAGAGUGUCGCUUUC
Ostrea edulis (European flat oyster) is the source of this 365-nucleotide long non-coding RNA. RefSeq lists it as uncharacterized. The transcript is spliced from 3 exons. The record is from RefSeq and is a predicted model, not a curated record. NCBI's taxonomy places the organism in Eukaryota, Metazoa, Mollusca, Bivalvia, Ostreida, Ostreidae.